This 274-nucleotide ribosomal RNA is filed under the name uncultured bacterium. Its description in RNAcentral is "partial 16S ribosomal RNA". It matches the Rfam family "Bacterial small subunit ribosomal RNA", at positions 523 to 796 of the family's 1533-position model. The record is from RNAcentral.
AUACGGAGGGGGCUAGCGUUGUUCGGAUUUACUGGGCGUAAAGCGCGCGUAGGUGGUAUAUCAAGUUAGGCGUGAAAGCCCCGGGCUCAACCCGGGAACUGCGCUUAUUACUGAUAAACUAGAGUCCGAGAGAGGGUGGCGGAAUUCCCAGUGUAGAGGUGAAAUUCGUAGAUAUUGGGAAGAACACCAGUUGCGAAGGCGGCCACCUGGACCGGUACUGACGCUGAGGUGCGAAAGCGUGGGGAGCAAACAGAAUUAGAAACCCGGGUAGUCC